CAUGAAGCUGGAAUCGCUAGUAAUCGCGGAUCAGAAUGCCGCGGUGAAUACGUUCCCGGGUCUUGUACGCACCGCCCGUCACACCAUGGGAGUCGGAAAUGCCCGAAGUCUGUGACCCAACCUACGGGAGGGAGCAGCCGAAGGCAGGUCGGAUGACUGGGGUGAAGUCGUAACAAGGUAGC
RNAcentral lists this ribosomal RNA (182 nucleotides) under uncultured bacterium. RNAcentral describes it as "partial 16S ribosomal RNA". It matches the Rfam family "Bacterial small subunit ribosomal RNA", at positions 1319 to 1500 of the family's 1533-position model. The record is from RNAcentral.